This 2070-nucleotide long non-coding RNA is filed under the name Triticum aestivum (bread wheat). Its description in RNAcentral is "long non-coding RNA (TAES_LNC022200)". The record is from RNAcentral. Lineage: Eukaryota; Viridiplantae; Streptophyta; Magnoliopsida; Poales; Poaceae.
CUUCUUCCCCGUCGCUUCUUCUUCGCCAUCACAACGCCCUACGCAUUCAAUUCCCUCCCAUCGCGGCGCUCCUGUUCUCCCCAUAACAUCCGCGAGUGUUCUCCACGGCCUCCCCUUUUCCUCUUCAUCUUCUCCAAUCCACAGAUCCACUAAUCUCUUGCGAUAGAAACUGCCAAGAAAAGAAACGGCUGGGUUUACUGCUCCUGCUCACGCGCGAGUAACAGAAGCACUUCCCCCCUCCCCUUUUAAGUGGAGAACCUGCUCCAUUCCCGUUGUCUCAUGCCCACACCUCUGAUGCACAGUCGCCACGUUUCGUCCUCCACAGUCCGUAUGAUCAUGGACAUUGAUGGGAUGAUGAACAGAUCUACUAAUCAUCGCCUACUGGUGCCGCACGUGCUCCCCGAGACACGCCUAUAGCCUUCGGCGUCGCCUCGCUUCUCCAUGCAAGGUUCUCCCUAUGCCUUGUUCCUUGCGGCGUUCAUUGAUUCUGGUCCCGUACAUCCAGUUUUUUGUUUUUUAUAGGUCUGUUCUUAAUACAGAGAUGUGACAACUGAUGUCUGUAGAACUGCACAAGCUAACCGUGUUCCAAUAUUCAUGCUUGGUUGAUGCAAAUAUCAGAUUAUAGAGAUGCUGAAACUUGAUACUAUCGAUCUGACUGCUAUACUAAUAUUUCACUCUUAAAUUUAACUGUCUUCUCAAAGCUGCAGGUCAAAUUGACUUAUCUACAAAUGUAUACCCAUAAAAAGCCUUGACGCUACCAUGUAUUGCCACUGUUACUUUGCUACUUACUAUAUGAAGCUACAUAAAAUGCUCCCUUACUUUGGUGCUCGCUGCUACCAACUGAUCAAAUAGUGUGAUCCAUGAUUUUCUACAUGGACAUUACCGAAUUUUUUACCAUCUUUAGUCUACAGGUAGAACUUCAUAGCCAUAUCAGCAUACCUAUGUGGUCAAUACAGUUUGUUUAAUCAUCAAACAAAUUACUACUAAGUUACUGAAUUGGAACUGUCCUUAUGAUGCCACCAUUUCGUGCAGUUUUCUCUUGCAAUCAUUAAUGGGAGGGUGGGAAACGUACUAGGCGAGGACCCGGCUGUGCCCUCGACAUGGCCUGUGACCCGUUACCAUCCCCUCUAUGUGCCAGGUUCUCUCUUUUUCUAUUAGAUUACUAUGGUGAACUUGACACUUGACCGAUAUAUUCACUUCAGUGAAACAAUGUUCGUAUUAUGAGACACAUCCGUGUGUUUGCAUUUUCCCCACCUUAUGUAUUAACAUGUUAUUAACUAAAUCAAUGUAAUGAGACACUUUCUGAGAGCAGUUUUAAGGUUAACUAGCAUGUGGAGCACAAUACAAGGGACCAUAUUAUUCUGGUAGUUGGUAAUGAGUUUCUGAUAACCUUUUUACUGAACCCUUGUGGGUAUAAGAUUGGGAGUCACGCGGUUCGACAAGGUCAUGGACGUACUCGUGGAUCACAUCACCGGUUCUAAUCCCUUGACCAACCCCGGUUGCAGGAGCUGAAAACUACCGUACCUAACUUUAGAGGUUAGUUAGGUUGAUGAAGAACCUGAUAUCUCAAGUUCUCCUGUAUUAUAUCUAUCACUUUAUCUAAAAGCAGAUGAGAUCUCAAGUAUUCUUCUUAUCAAUCAAAACAACAUCUUAACACAAAAGUUCACUAACUCUAUAGCCAAACUAAGAAUAGUCAUCUUUGCAAGCACCAAAUUUGACCUUUUUCCAUAUGCGUAUUCUGUAAGCUUCUGUCAUUCACUUCUCUUCUUGGUAGCUUGCAGGCAUAUGUAGUACUAUUUUCAGACAAAUAACGUUUAGUGACCCAUCUUCCAGGAGCCAUCUUUAAGCCCUUACAGCUUGGGGGGCUCAACAUUCUGGCCGACUACAUGUACUUACUUGAACUAUGUCAAUACAGUACAUACACUUUUUGGAAAUUUGUCGUCUUACCAUUGUGUGAAUGCUUGCUAUGGUUGUAUUGCCUAUUGUUUAUUAUCCAUGUUUUGAUAGUGGGCUCUGCUCUUCAGCAGCCAUUCACAAGUUCCCAUGGACAAAUCUAUCAUAUUAUUUGUU